CGGAUGAACGCUAGCGGGAGGCUUAACACAUGCAAGUCGAGGGGUAAAUGGUAGCAAUACUAUGAGACCGGCGGACGGGUGCGUAACGCGUAUGCAACAUACCUUGUGCAGGGGGAUAGCCCGUGGAAACGCGGAUUAAUAUUCCAUAGUCCAGCUAUAUCGCAUGGUAUAGUUGGUAAAGAUUUAUCGGCACAAGUUUGGCAUGCGUCUGAUUAGCUUGUUGGUAGGGUAACGGCCUACCAAGGCUACGAUCAGUAGGGGUUCUGAGAGGAUUAACCCCCACACUGGUACUGAGACACGGACCAGACUCCUACGGGAGGCAGCAGUGGGGAAUUUUGGACAAUGGGGGAAACCCUGAUCCAGCCAUGCCGCGUGCAGGAUGAAGGCCUUCGGGUUGUAAACUGCUUUUGUACGGAACGAAAGGUACCUUUCUAAUAAAGAGGGCUCAUGACGGUACCGUAAGAAUAAGCACCGGCUAACUACGUG
Molecule: ribosomal RNA, 486 nt
Filed under: uncultured bacterium
Lineage: Bacteria
Description: bacterial SSU rRNA
Rfam family: Bacterial small subunit ribosomal RNA
Source: RNAcentral